RNAcentral lists this ribosomal RNA (246 nucleotides) under uncultured bacterium. RNAcentral's name for it is "partial 16S ribosomal RNA". It matches the Rfam family "Bacterial small subunit ribosomal RNA", at positions 15 to 253 of the family's 1533-position model. The record is from RNAcentral.
GAUCAUGCUCAGGAUGAACGCUAGCUACAGGCUUAACACAUGCAAGUCGAGGGGCAGCGGGAUUGAAGCUUGCUUCAAUUGCCGGCGACCGGCGCACGGGUGAGUAACGCGUAUCCAACCUUCCGUACACUCAGGGAUAGCCUUUCGAAAGAAAGAUUAAUACCUGAUGGUAUCUUAAGCACACAUGUAAUUAAGAUUAAAGAUUUAUCGGUGUACGAUGGGGGUGCGUUCCGUUAGGUAGUAGGG